This 503-nucleotide ribosomal RNA is filed under the name uncultured bacterium. Its description in RNAcentral is "partial 16S ribosomal RNA". It matches the Rfam family "Bacterial small subunit ribosomal RNA", at positions 28 to 506 of the family's 1533-position model. The record is from RNAcentral.
GACGAACGCUGGCGGCGUGCCUAAUACAUGCAAGUAGAACGCACAGUUUAUACCGUAGCUUGCUACACCAUAGACUGUGAGUUGCGAACGGGUGAGUAACGCGUAGGUAACCUGCCUGGUAGCGGGGGAUAACUAUUGGAAACGAUAGCUAAUACCGCAUAAUAUUAAUUAUUGCAUGAUAAUUAAUUGAAAGGUGCAAUUGCACCACUACCAGAUGGACCUGCGUUGUAUUAGCUAGUAGGGGAGGUAACGGCUCACCUAGGCGACGAUACAUAGCCGACCUGAGGGGGGGUUCGGCACACUGGAACUGAGACACGGCCCAGACUCCUACGGGAGGUAGCAGUAGGGAAUCUUCGGCAAUGGACGAAAGUCUGACCGAGCAACGCCGCGUGAGUGAAGAAGGUUUUCGGAUCGUAAAGCUCUGUUGUAAGAGAAGAACGGGUGUGAGAGUGGAAAGUUCACACUGGGACGGUAUCUUACCAGAAAGGGACGGCUAACUACGU